This 85-nucleotide transfer RNA is filed under the name Felis catus (domestic cat). It matches the Rfam family "tRNA". From Rfam's summary of the family: Transfer RNA (tRNA) molecules are approximately 80 nucleotides in length. Their secondary structure includes four short double-helical elements and three loops (D, anti-codon, and T loops). RNAcentral also lists the same sequence under 1 other name. Lineage: Eukaryota; Metazoa; Chordata; Mammalia; Carnivora; Felidae. The record is from Rfam by way of RNAcentral.
GCCUGGGUGGCUUAGCUGGUUAAGUGUCUGACUUCAGCUCAGGUCAUGAUCUCGUGGUUCAUGAGUUCGAGCCCCAUGUCGGGCU